GACGAACGCUGGCGGCGUGCUUAACACAUGCAAGUCGAACGGAAAGGCCCUGCUUGCAGGGUGCUCGAGUGGCGAACGGGUGAGUAACACGUGGGUGAUCUGCCCCUUACUUUGGGAUAAGCCUGGGAAACUGGGUCUAAUACUGGAUAGGACCAUGCUGUAGGUGGUGUGGUGGAAAGAUUAGUUUCGGUAAGGGAUGAGCUCGCGGCCUAUCAGCUUGUUGGUGGGGUAAUGGCCUACCAAGGCGUCGACGGGUAGCCGGCCUGAGAGGGUGGACGGCCACAUUGGGACUGAGAUACGGUCCAGACUCCUACGGGAGGCAGCAGUGGGGAAUAUUGCACAAUGGGCGCAAGCCUGAUGCAGCGACGCCGCGUGGGGGAUGACGGCCUUCGGGUUGUAAACUCCUUUCAGCCAUGACGAAGCCCUUGUGGUGACGGUAGUGGUAGAAGAAGCACCGGCUAACUACGUG
This 469-nucleotide ribosomal RNA is filed under the name uncultured bacterium. RNAcentral's name for it is "partial 16S ribosomal RNA". It matches the Rfam family "Bacterial small subunit ribosomal RNA", at positions 28 to 507 of the family's 1533-position model. The record is from RNAcentral.